Molecule: ribosomal RNA, 468 nt
Filed under: uncultured bacterium
Lineage: Bacteria
Description: partial 16S ribosomal RNA
Rfam family: Bacterial small subunit ribosomal RNA
Source: RNAcentral
GACGAACGCUGGCGGCGUGCUUAACACAUGCAAGUCGAACGGAAAGGCCCUGCUUUUGUGGGGUGCUCGAGUGGCGAACGGGUGAGUAACACGUGAGUAACCUGCCCUUGACUUUGGGAUAACUUCAGGAAACUGGGGCUAAUACCGGAUAGGAGCUCCUGCUGCAUGGUGGGGGUUGGAAAGUUUCGGCGGUUGGGGAUGGACUCGCGGCUUAUCAGCUUGUUGGUGGGGUAGUGGCUUACCAAGGCUUUGACGGGUAGCCGGCCUGAGAGGGUGACCGGCCACAUUGGGACUGAGAGACGGACCAGACUCGUACGGGAGGCAGCAGUGGGGAAUAUUGCACAAUGGGCGGAAGCCUGAGGCAGCAACGCCGCGUGCGGGAUGACGGCCUUCGGGUUGUAAACCGCUUUCGCCUGUGACGAAGCGUGAGUGACGGUAAUGGGUAAAGAAGCACCGGCUAACUACGUG